GACGAACGCUGGCGGCGUGCUUAACACAUGCAAGUCGAACGGAAAGGCCCUGCGUUUGUGGGGUGCUCGAGUGGCGAACGGGUGAGUAACACGUGAGUAACCUGCCCUUGACUUUGGGAUAACUUCAGGAAACUGGGGCUACUACCGGAUAGGAGCUCCUGCUGCAUGGUGGGGGUUGGAAAGUUUCGGCGGUUGGGGAUGGACUCGCGGCUUAUCAGCUUGUUGGUGGGGUAGUGGCUUACCAAGGCUUUGACGGGUAGCCGGCCUGAGAGGGUGGCCGGCCACAAUGGGACUGAGAUACGGCCCAGACUCCUACGGGAGGCAGCAGUGGGGAAUAUUGCACAAUGGGCGGAAGCCUGAUGCAGCAACGCCGCGUGCGGGAUGACGGCCUUCGGGUUGUAAACCGCUUUCGCCUGUGACGAAGCGUGAGUGACGGUAAUGGGUAAAGAAGCACCGGCUAACUACGUG
Molecule: ribosomal RNA, 468 nt
Filed under: uncultured bacterium
Lineage: Bacteria
Description: partial 16S ribosomal RNA
Rfam family: Bacterial small subunit ribosomal RNA
Source: RNAcentral